UUAUACAAUUAAUGCUAUUUAAUAUGUUUGGUUGAAUUUGAGUUAAUUAUUUAUAGGGUUUAAUUUUUAAAUUUUUAGGUGAAAUUUGUAUUUAAGUUAAGUCUUUUUAAGAUUCUUUUAAGGGCUAAUUUUAAACUAGGAUUAGAUACCCUAUUAUUGUUGUUUGUAAAGAUUUUCUGGGUAGUAUUAGUUAAGUUCUUUAAACCUAAAGAAUUGGGCGGUGUUUUAGUCUGGUUAGAGGAACUUGUCCCUUGAUCGAUAAUCCUCGUUUUAUCUAGCUUAGUCUUGUUAUCAGUAUGUAUACCUCCGUUAUAGGUUUA
Molecule: ribosomal RNA, 320 nt
Filed under: Alienobostra sp. 'remiformis'
Lineage: Eukaryota; Metazoa; Arthropoda; Insecta; Phasmatodea; Diapheromeridae
Description: partial 12S ribosomal RNA
Source: RNAcentral